UCUUGACUUAUUAAAGCCUAGCAAAAAUGAUCUUCCACACUCUGGUAAUUCAAGGGCUUUCAAGUACUUCGUGUAUCUCUUGCCUUUUGUACUAUUUAUUCUUUUUUUUUUUUGGAGACGGCGUCUUGCUCUUGUUGCCCAGGCUGGAGUGCAGUGGUGCGAUCUUAGCUCACUGCAGCCUCCGCCUCCCAGGUUCUAGCGAUUCUCUUGCCUCAGCCUCCCAAGUAGCUGGGACUAUAGGCACCCGCCACCACACCUGGCUAAUUUUUGUAGUUUUUAGUAGAGACGGGGUUUCACCAUGUUGGCCAGGCUGGUCUCAAACUCCUGACCUCAGGUUAUCCACCCACCUCGGCCUCCCAAAGUGCUGGGAUUACAGGCAUGAGCCACAGUGCCUGGCCAUCAAUAUACUUCUUAGUGCCUCAUUAAAUAAAGUUUCUCUGUGUCUUCUGGGAGACGUAUUUAGGUUAUGCAUGAGUAGAUCACACAUGUAAAUCCACUGCAACAUUGCUAUGUUUCUAAUCUUUGAGUUAUUUUCUCCAAGAACUUCCACUUGAUUUAAUACAGGUCAUCACUGAAUCCACAGUUUAGGUUACCAUUCUUGAAGUCUAACAGAGCCACUGCUUUAUCUAAUAUUGCAUCGGAAUGUCUAGUUAGAGUAUCCAUAUGGAUAUAUUAAUUUGGGAUCACAAUUAUGUCCUUUCCUCCCUGGUCUAGUUCCCUUAGUAUCCCUUCCAUAAAUAAUCCCUAAGUAUUUGCUGUUAUAAAUUAGCAGAAGAUUGGAAUUCAGGGUGUUAGCUCCUUUUUAAUGUCAUAUUUAUAUCCAUACCCCUAGGUUAGGCUGGGAUCUGAUCCUAAUUAUGGGUUUUCUAGCAAGAAGGAGUGGUGGGGGCUGGAGAAUGAGACUCCUUUUGUUACCAGGGGGUCCUUGCUCACAGAGCUCCCAAGAUGGUGGCAGGCCACUUCCAAGAUUGUGGCAAGCCUCGUGUU
RNAcentral lists this long non-coding RNA (987 nucleotides) under Homo sapiens (human). RNAcentral's name for it is "non-protein coding lnc-CCSER2-4:1". The record is from RNAcentral. Lineage: Eukaryota; Metazoa; Chordata; Mammalia; Primates; Hominidae.